This is a non-coding RNA of Jaminaea rosea, 111 nucleotides long. Lineage: Eukaryota; Fungi; Basidiomycota; Exobasidiomycetes; Microstromatales. The record is from the annotation of a RefSeq genome assembly.
GGCAGUAUGGCCGAGUGGUUAAGGCGUCAGACUCGAAUUAGUCGCAACCUGGUAUACCAAGCGCUCAUCUGAUGGGAUCUUCCCGCGGCGGUUCAAAUCCGUCUGCUGUCG